AAGCCCGGGGCUCAACCUCGGAACCGCAUUUGAAACUGGCAGGCUAGAGUCUUGUAGAGGGGGGUAGAAUUUCAGGUGUAGCGGUGAAAUGCGUAGAGAUCUGAAGGAAUACCAGUGGCGAAGGCGGCCCCCUGGACAAAGACUGACGCUCAGAUGCGAAAGCGUGGGUAGCAAACAGGAUUAGAUACCCUGGUAGUCCACGCCGUAAACGCUGUCUACUUGGAGGUUGAGGUUUAAGACUUUGGCUUUCGGCGCUAACGCAUUAAGUAGACCGCCUGGGGAGUAUGGCCGCAAGGUUAAAACUCAAAUGAAUUGACGGGGGCCCGCACAAGCGGUGGAGCAUGUGGUUUAAUUCGAUGCAACGCGAAGAACCUUACCUACUCUUGACAUCCAGCGAAUCCUUUAGAGAUAGAGGCGUGCCUUCGGGAGCGCUGAGACAGGUGCUGCAUGGCUGUCGUCAGCUCGUGUUGUGAAAUGUUGGGUUAAGUCCCGCAACGAGCGCAACCCUUAUCCUUGUUUGCCAGCACAUAAUGGUGGGAACUCCAGGGAGACUGCCGGUGAUAAACCGGAGGAAGGUGGGGACGACGUCAAGUCAUCAUGGCCCUUACGAGUAGGGCUACACACGUGCUACAAUGGCAGAUACAGAGGGCAGCGAAGCUGCGAAGUGGAGCGAAUCCCUUAAAGUCUGUCGUAGUCCGGAUUGGAGUCUGCAACUCGAC
Molecule: ribosomal RNA, 719 nt
Filed under: uncultured Salinivibrio sp.
Lineage: Bacteria; Pseudomonadati; Pseudomonadota; Gammaproteobacteria; Vibrionales; Vibrionaceae
Description: bacterial SSU rRNA
Rfam family: Bacterial small subunit ribosomal RNA
Source: RNAcentral